Oncorhynchus keta (chum salmon) is the source of this 310-nucleotide long non-coding RNA. RefSeq lists it as uncharacterized. The transcript is spliced from 3 exons. NCBI's taxonomy places the organism in Eukaryota, Metazoa, Chordata, Actinopteri, Salmoniformes, Salmonidae. The record is from RefSeq and is a predicted model, not a curated record.
AAAGUCCUAACCAGAGACAUGGUUAAUGUGUAUGUGUUGGUAUUACGGUUGCUGUCCUUUCAGACACUGAAGGCACUGAAGGCCUAUAGGUUCAACACUGUACUAACAUGUAACACACUGAAGACCUAUAGGUUCACCACUGUACUAACCUGUCACACACUGAAGACCUAUAGGUUCACCACUGUACUAACCUGUCACACUGAAGACCUAUAGGUUCACCACUGUACUAACCUGUCACACACUGAAGACCUAUAGGUUCACCACAGUACUAACCUGUCACACACUGAAGACCUAUAGGUUCACCACUGUA